This 440-nucleotide ribosomal RNA is filed under the name uncultured bacterium. Its description in RNAcentral is "partial 16S ribosomal RNA". It matches the Rfam family "Bacterial small subunit ribosomal RNA", at positions 338 to 795 of the family's 1533-position model. The record is from RNAcentral.
CCUACGGGAGGCAGCAGUGGGGGAUAUUGCACAAUGGGGGGAACCCUGAUGCAGCGACGCCGCGUGGGUGAAGAAGCGCCUCGGCGCGUAAAGCCCUGUCAGCAGGGAAGAAAAUGACGGUACCUGAAGAAGAAGCCCCGGCUAACUACGUGCCAGCAGCCGCGGUAAUACGUAGGGGGCAAGCGUUAUCCGGAUUUACUGGGUGUAAAGGGGGCGCAGACGGCGAUGCAAGCCAGGAGUGAAAGCCCGGGGCCCAACCCCGGGACUGCUCUUGGAACUGCGUGGCUGGAGUGCAGGAGGGGCAGGCGGAAUUCCUGGUGUAGCGGUGAAAUGCGUAAAUAUAUGUAAGAACACCAGUGGCGAAGGCGGCUUGCUGGGUCGAUACUGACAUUGAGGCACGAAAGCGUGGGGAGCAAACAGGAUUAGAUAACCUUGUAGUC